CAAUCCGAGAGGAACGGUCUGAAGGAAGCCGCUAGCAAACCUGUAUGCUGAUGAACAAGAACAUCCUAUGAGGUGUAUACGGAAGGCCGCCCGCAGAAGGGGAGUCAGCACAAGAUCCGGAACGUCGGCCGGACGAAGCCAGAUAAUCUGAUGGCCACAGUAAAUGAUGCAGUUGUGCGGGGAAAGUUCAUGUU
RNAcentral lists this non-coding RNA (194 nucleotides) under Granulosicoccus antarcticus IMCC3135. The record is from RNAcentral. Lineage: Bacteria; Pseudomonadati; Pseudomonadota; Gammaproteobacteria; Chromatiales; Granulosicoccaceae.